RNAcentral lists this non-coding RNA (176 nucleotides) under human gut metagenome. The record is from RNAcentral.
GCCGCCGGUGCCGUUUGGGGCCGGGGGAGAAUAGUGAAUCGGGUGCGAAUCCCGAACGGUACCGCCACUGUAUGCGUGGAGAUGCCCCUGCAAAGGCGAAAGCCGGUCAUUGGAGCCUUGGCUCUGAGAAGGCCGCAGGGGCAUUGCGGAUGCGCAAGCCAGGAGACCUGCUCAAG